UACAGAGGGGGCGAGCGUUGUUCGGAAUUACUGGGCGUAAAGGGCGCGUAGGCGGCCUUCUAAGUCGAACGUGAAAUCCCCGGGCUCAACCCAGGAACUGCGUCCGAUACUGGUUGGCUUGAAUCCGGGAGAGGGAUGUGGAAUUCCAGGUGUAGCGGUGAAAUGCGUAGAUAUCUGGAGGAACACCGGUGGCGAAGGCGACAUCCUGGACCGGCAUUGACGCUGAGGCGCGAAAGCCAGGGGAGCAAACGGG
RNAcentral lists this ribosomal RNA (253 nucleotides) under uncultured bacterium. RNAcentral describes it as "partial 16S ribosomal RNA". It matches the Rfam family "Bacterial small subunit ribosomal RNA", at positions 524 to 776 of the family's 1533-position model. The record is from RNAcentral.